UCGAGGGCGGGCACGCGACCGGCAAAGUGAUUGUCGCCAUCUGACACCGGUUCAGAAGGUUAGGGGUUCGAGUCCCUUCGGGCGAA
Molecule: transfer RNA, 86 nt
Filed under: Micromonospora sp. ATA51
Lineage: Bacteria; Bacillati; Actinomycetota; Actinomycetes; Micromonosporales; Micromonosporaceae
Description: tRNA-Arg
Source: RNAcentral